This 440-nucleotide ribosomal RNA is filed under the name uncultured bacterium. RNAcentral's name for it is "bacterial SSU rRNA". It matches the Rfam family "Bacterial small subunit ribosomal RNA", at positions 28 to 448 of the family's 1533-position model. The record is from RNAcentral.
GAUGAACGCUGGCGGCGUGCUUAACACAUGCAAGUCGAACGAAGCACUUUAUUUGAUUUCCUUCGGGACUGAUUAUUUUGUGACUGAGUGGCGGACGGGUGAGUAACGCGUGGGUAACCUGCCUUGUACAGGGGGAUAACAGUUGGAAACGGCUGCUAAUACCGCAUAAGCGCACGACAUCGCAUGAUGCAGUGUGAAAAACUCCGGUGGUAUAAGAUGGACCCGCGUUGGAUUAGCUAGUUGGUGAGGUAACGGCCCACCAAGGCGACGAUCCAUAGCCGACCUGAGAGGGUGACCGGCCACAUUGGGACUGAGACACGGCCCAAACUCCUACGGGAGGCAGCAGUGGGGAAUAUUGCACAAUGGGCGAAAGCCUGAUGCAGCGACGCCGCGUGAGCGAAGAAGUAUUUCGGUAUGUAAAGCUCUAUCAGCAGGGAAGA